ACGUCAGCUUCCAGGGAGGGAUGGUCCUCGGUUCAAACCUCAAUCCUGACUGGAAAAUCACUAAGGGCCCUUGGGCAAGGUCCUUAAUCUCCAAGUUGCUCCCGGUGUGUAAUGAGUGCCCUGCAUGGCAACACCCUGACAUCAGUGUG
Molecule: long non-coding RNA, 149 nt
Organism: Thalassophryne amazonica
Lineage: Eukaryota; Metazoa; Chordata; Actinopteri; Batrachoidiformes; Batrachoididae
Exons: 3
Source: RefSeq, a predicted model, not a curated record